This 1018-nucleotide unclassified non-coding RNA is filed under the name Hevea brasiliensis (rubber tree). The record is from RNAcentral. Lineage: Eukaryota; Viridiplantae; Streptophyta; Magnoliopsida; Malpighiales; Euphorbiaceae.
AAAACACAACAGCCAAACAAAUGUCCAAGUGCAAACAAAUUCAACACAAAAAUGCAGCACCAACAAGAACAAAUGCUGCCCACCAAAAACAAGAAAUACACAGCAGCUAUAAACCAGAAAUUACAUGACAGCAAGCAAGAACAGAGGAGCCCAACAACCCGCAACUAAAACAGAGCAGACCCAAAUUGCAGAUGACCAUCAACCAACUUCAGAAUUCCAAGAAGUCUCAAUGACAGAGCGGCAAUGUAGCAACAAAGAAAGAACCACAUUAAGGACCAAACAAAAUCCACAAUAUGCUACCCAAACCCAAGCCACACAUAACUCAAAUUAGAGAAAAACAAUGAGAUCAACAGCCCGAAAGACACCCUGCUUCGCUAAAGAAUCCGCAAUAGAGUUAGCUUCCCUAAGAGUCUGAGUAAAAAUCACAGAGGGCAAGCUAUGCAAGCAGGCAACAAUGGAGUUCAUAAUGGAAUUGGCUCUCCAAGGAGCUGAACUGAUGUGCUUAACCCAAGAAAUUGCAGUCUUCGAAUCCCAUUCGACAAUAAUUUCUUCAAUACCAUGAGCUCCUCGGAUGCUGGAGGAAAGUUCCAAAGCUUUAGAGGUUGCUUUUAAUUCUGCAAUGUUAGAAUCACAAACACCCACAGCACAUGAGAAAACACAGAAAAUUCCCAUUAGCAUCACUUGAAAAGCAAAGCUUGAGCACUGGUAGACCUGAAAGGUGUUGUGAAGUCAAUAAGCUUCUUUCUUUGAAAGGCAAAGCUUGAGCACUUUCAGGCUUCUAGUCUUUUGGUUGGAAGCAGGAGAGCAUGACUUCGGUGGAUUGAAAAGGCUACUAGGAACUGAUUCUAGUAAAACCUCAUCCCUCCUUUUAUCCGCAUUUUGCAGUUUGUACCUUAAUAAAGUGGAAUUUGUCAGCACUAUAAAAAUCUUUCAAUUAAGUGUAUGAAUGGAUUCUCCCCCAAAUUGAUACCAGCAAUUGGUGCUACAUGCAUUUAGGUGAUCCUUUCAAGGUGACGAU